Molecule: ribosomal RNA, 322 nt
Filed under: uncultured Flectomonas
Lineage: Eukaryota; Cercozoa; Glissomonadida
Description: SSU rRNA
Rfam family: Eukaryotic small subunit ribosomal RNA (bases 112-322)
Source: RNAcentral
GAUUUCUGGUCUGUACCAUUUUGCCAGCCACGGUUUCGUGUGUUAGUGCAUUAUGUUCUGGCCAUCCUUCCAAUCGCUAUUUGCCUUUCUUCAUUGAUUGGUAAGUGGUAUUGGAUCUUUUACUUUGAAAAAAUUAGAGUGUUUCAAGCAGGCUUUAUGCUAUGAAUACAUUAGCAUGGAAUAAUAAUUUAGGACUUCGGUUCUAUUUUGUUGGUUUCUAGGACUGAAGUAAUGAUUGAUAGGGAUAGUUGGGGGUGCUAGUAUUCCGCGGCCAGAGGUGAAAUUCUUGGAUUCGCGGAAGACUAACUAAUGCGAAAGCAUU